CACAAGCGGUGGAGCAUGUUGGUUUAAUUCGACGCAACGCGAAGAACCUUACCAGGUCUUGACAUCCCGAUGCUUAUUUCUAGAGAUAGAAAGUUACUUCGGUACAUCGGUGACAGGUGGUGCAUGGUUGUCGUCAGCUCGUGUCGUGAGAUGUUGGGUUAAGUCCCGCAACGAGCGCAACCCCCAUUGUUAGUUGCCAUCAUUCAGUUGGGCACUCUAGCGAGACUGCCGGUAAUAAACCGGAGGAAGGUGGGGAUGACGUCAAAUCAUCAUGCCCCUUAUGACCUGGGCUACACACGUGCUACAAUGGUUGGUACAACGAGUUGCGAGUCGGUGACGGCGAGCUAAUCUCUUAAAGCCAAUCUCAGUUCGGAUUGUAGGCUGCAACUCGCCUACAUGAAGUCGGAAUCGCUAGUAAUCGCGGAUCAGCACGCCGCGGUGAAUACGUUCCCGGGCCUU
RNAcentral lists this ribosomal RNA (459 nucleotides) under uncultured Streptococcus sp. Its description in RNAcentral is "bacterial SSU rRNA". It matches the Rfam family "Bacterial small subunit ribosomal RNA", at positions 924 to 1382 of the family's 1533-position model. Lineage: Bacteria; Bacillati; Bacillota; Bacilli; Lactobacillales; Streptococcaceae. The record is from RNAcentral.